CCAGAGGCCCAAGCAGUGGCACCGAGCGAGCGCGAGGACGCAGCAACCGUCUCUGGCCGCUUUCCAGCUAAAAAGUAAAAGCGGGCAGGGGAAGAGAGCGUGCGAGAGAGGCCGGGAACUGGCAGGGGUUUUCAGCGCCGCCGCGCGGGGCCCGGAGGUUGGAGGGGCGGCUGCCGGCUCCAGUUCCGGGGUGGGGCUUUCCUGCAACUGCCGCGCCAACCUCUGAGCCACCUGGCCCGCCGGCCCGCGCCCGACUGUGGAGCCAGAGCCCAAAGACGCUUAAGACCGAGGCACUUUCAAGCUUCCCCCGGAGCUUGCAGGACGGUGGCGAGGCCCGCGCACGGUCUGCGGCGGCGCCCGGCGCGGUGGGACCCCGGGGCCGCCCUUGUCUCCGCCGCGUCUCGUCUCGGAGACCGAAACGCAGCGACCCUUCCUCGUCGGCUGGCCGAUGCCACCCUAGUGCCCCGGAGGCAAGCUGGAUCAAAGGGGAGUCUCCCCGAUAGAACCUGGAACCCAGAAAAACUUAAAAACAGACUGAAUCCCCUCCCCCACUCCCACUGAGAUAGAGCAUAGGCAUGUGACCUAGGCUCUACCAAUCAGAAGCUGCCUGGCAGGACGUGACUCUCCAGCUGCAUAAAGCAAGGUUUGGAGAACUGUAUUUCUGCAGCUGGGAACGGCCAUUGUUGUGACAUGGGAAGAAGUAGUUUCGUCUCCAGAGCAGUUCUAGAACAUACUUCAGUGCAUUUGUCCUAAUGCCUUAGCCUUGUAUCUGGAUCUCUAGCCCCUGUGGUGGAUUGAGGGAGCUACCCUCAUAUCUUUUUAGUGAAUUACUACUUGUUUGCUUAACUCAGCUGGAGAUGUCCUAUACUUCUUGCAUCUAAAGAGCUCAGAAUCAAAUUUGAAACUUGAACAUCUGCUGUGGUAUACCACAAAGGAGUUUAAAAAAAGAAAAAAAGCAUUGCGAAUCUUAGACAUAGAUGAAUGGAAUGAAAAAAUAAAUAGAAUGAAAAUCAAAGAUGGACAGGUUCCCAGCACCAGUGGCAUAGACAACGAAUGGAAUGAUAGUGCUGUAUGCAGGAACUGAAGGAUGGAACUUAUAACAACUGAGAUGGGAGAAUAGAAGUGAGAAGGCUGAGAAGUGACCCCAGAGAAAUGAGAGAAGAUAGAGAAGGCCAAGGACUGAGCCCUGGGCAGGUUGGCAAGAUACAGCUACCAAUGUACAGGCUAUACUGAGAUACAGAAGCCUUUUAGACAACUGUGAGAUGACUUCAGGUUAUGGAAGGCUUCUGACCACUCCACAGACCCUGUUGGGGGAUGACGGUGAGGAGUAAACUGGGAAACUCAGCUGAGUAAAUGACCUUUACAUAAAACUUGCAAGAAAAAAAAAAUUCAUUUUUAACAUUUAA
This is a long non-coding RNA of Tupaia belangeri chinensis (Chinese tree shrew), 1406 nucleotides long. RefSeq lists it as uncharacterized. NCBI's taxonomy places the organism in Eukaryota, Metazoa, Chordata, Mammalia, Scandentia, Tupaiidae. The record is from RefSeq and is a predicted model, not a curated record. The transcript has 7 exons.